RNAcentral lists this long non-coding RNA (2444 nucleotides) under Gossypium barbadense (sea-island cotton). RNAcentral describes it as "long non-coding RNA (GBAR_LNC007151)". Lineage: Eukaryota; Viridiplantae; Streptophyta; Magnoliopsida; Malvales; Malvaceae. The record is from RNAcentral.
UUGGCUGAUCCCUUUCGCUGUAUGGCGUGCUCUUUUGGGUUGGGCGUCGGCUAAGAGUGCUCGAAGCGUGGAUUAACUCCAGUCUUCUAUCAGGUGUGUAUUUCUCACUACUCUAGCUGUAGGAUGGCCACAAUGGGCCGAAAAGGGCCAUGUGGGCCCAAUGGGCCUAUGGGCCCAAUUGGAUAAGUUUGUUUGAUUGUGUAGUAAAUAUUGGACUAGGCUAGGUGAAUCUCAUAUUUGUGGCUAGAUUUGGGCUAAAAGGGCCACACGAGUGUGUGGGCCCAUUUGGGCUGAGAAUAGGCUUUAGGCCCAUUCGUAUUGUUAUCCCUGUUUAGAAUACUUUAGUUUAUCAAAUUACUAAAAUGUCCUCAAUUUGUAAAAUUACCAAAGUUACAGAAUUAUCGUUUUACCCUUGAUUUACAGAAUUACCGUUUUACCCUCGAUUUAUAGAAUUACCAUUUUACCCUUGAUUCACAGAAUUACCGUUUUACCCUUGAUUUACAGAAUUACCAUUUUACACUCGAUUUACAAAAUUACUAAAAUACCCUUGAUUUACAAAAUUACCAAAAUACCCCUAGUUUGUAAAAUUACCAAAAUACCAUUGGUUUGAGAAAUUACCGAAAUACCACCAAUUUGUAAAAUUAUCAAAAUACCCCUGAUUUACAAAAUUACAGAAAUACCCUUGACUUUUUUAAAAAUUAUAGGAAUACCAUUGGUUUAUAAAAUUACUGAAAUACCCUUGGUUUGUUGAUUUACCAAAACACCCUUGUAGGAUAAAAUGACUAAAAAACCCCUAAUAGGUAAAAAGACCGUAAAGCCCCUAUAGGGUAAUGUGACCGUAAUACCCCUGUAUGGUAAAAUGACGAAUAUGCCCUUAUGAUCCGUAUGACUGAUGUGCUUAGGAGUUACAUAUAUUGAUAUUGGAUUAGUUAAGUUUGAGUGAUAGGUGGUGGUUAUCGUAGGUGAUUGAUUUGGGAAAUGUUUCAACUUCAACCCAUAACAGGUGUGUAAUAACCCUCGCAGUAGCUUAGAUUAAUAUUCGCCGAAAAGCCGAAAUGCUAAAAUUCUGGUAUUUCAGGAACUUGUGAUUUUACCUUUGCUUAAAGAUGCGAUAGAUACGAUAUGAUCGGUGUUUGGAUCGAUGGAGCAGGUAAGAGCGCAAUUUUGUGCAUGAUGGUAAGUUGGGCCUCAAUGGGCUGGAAUCGGGCCCAAUGGGCUUUUGGGCCCAUUUGGGUAAAACUGAUAGAAAAUGGAAUCUGGAAAAGUUGCAUGUUAACACGGUUAGUACUGUUGUAAAAUUUGGAUUAAGCAGGCUUAGUGGGCUAAAUCAGCAUUCAUAGGGCCCAUUAGGGGUUUUGGGCCCAAAAGCCCGAAUUUGAUAAAGUGGGUUAAAGAUCAUUGUUUAAACACUCGAAAAUAUUGAUAAUUGUUAAUGAACAUGGAAAACCCUGAUAUUUGGUAAAAUUACGAAAUUACCCUUAUAAUAUGAAAAAUGAUUGUUUUACCCUUGUGGACAAGUGACUGACUUGGACUGUGUGGUUGAUGGAUUUGAUUGUGAAUAUAUGUUGGUGAUAUGAAUGACUUGACUGUGAUUGUUUGAUUCAAAUAUGGGCAUGACAUUCUGCAUACAUGACAUGUUGCAUGGGUUGAGUUUUAUACAUGGAGGAAGUGCUAAAAGGGCUAUGCCCCAGUUUACUGAAAAGGGCUUUGCCCUAGUUUACCGAAAAGGGCUUUGCCUCAGUUUAUCAAAAAGGACUUUGCCCCAGUUAUUAAAAUAGGCUAGGCCUCCAGUUAUAUGAUAAUGCAGCUAUGCUUCCAGUGGAGAGUUUGGUUGGGUGGGUUGAGUUAUUCCCCACAUGGUGUGUUGGUUGGUACGGGUGGAGAGUAGCGGAUGGUAGGUUGAGUAGUCUCCCCAAAUGGGCUUGCAUACAUUCAUUGAUAUUACAUGUGAUACUGAAAUGGGCCUAAGGGCCAUACCAUUUACAGUAAAGGCUUCGACCCAGUGAUAUGAUUUAUGAAAAGGCUUCGGCCCAGUGAUAUGAUUUAUGAAAAGGCUUCGGCCCAGUAACCGUUAAACGAAAGGCUUCGGCCCAGUAUAUGUCAAGACUAAAUAGGGCUUUGGCCCAGAUUGUACUGAUACUGUGUUUUCACUGUUUGUUUGUUAUUGGGAUUACACACUGAGUUUUCGUAAACUCACCCCGUUUCUAACUGUGCAGGUAAUCCCUAAUCUUAGAUGGUUUGAAGCUGCGAGGGACUCGGAGAUGGCCACACUACUAUUUCUGUUUCUUUUAAUUGCAAUAAGUAGCCGAUUUAUUUCUUUAUAAGUUUUAUCUUAUUAAUAUUAUUAUUUGGUUUUGGGUUGUAAUAAGGCCAUUUUAAUUAUUUUUCUGGUAUUAUUUUAUUUUAUACCCUAUAUUUUUCUGAUAACAAUAUGAGUUAGACCU